This 440-nucleotide ribosomal RNA is filed under the name Scolopendra calcarata. RNAcentral's name for it is "partial 16S ribosomal RNA". It matches the Rfam family "Bacterial large subunit ribosomal RNA", at positions 1832 to 2600 of the family's 2925-position model. Lineage: Eukaryota; Metazoa; Arthropoda; Chilopoda; Scolopendromorpha; Scolopendridae. The record is from RNAcentral.
GGUUAUAAGGUUUAUGUAUAAUCUGGCCUGCUCAAUGAUUAUGAAUAGCCGCAGUAUUUUGACUGUGCGAAGGUAGCAUAAUAAUUAGGCUAUUAAUUGUAGUCUUGAAUGAAUGGUUUGAUGGAAAUUAACUUUCUUUUUAUUAAGAUUGAAAUUAAGGUUUUAGUAAUAAUGCUAAAAUGACUAAAUUAGACGAGAAGACCCUAUUAAGUUUAAUAUAUAAUUGGUUUAUUAUAUUUUGUUGGGGCAACAUUUAAUAAAUAUUUUAUUGAAUUGAUCCAUUAAUAGUGAUUAUAGAAUAAAUUACUAUAGGGAUAACAGCGUAAUUUUAUUAGAUAGUUCUUAUUGAUAAUAAAGUUUGCGACCUCGAUGUUGGAUUAGGAUUACCUAAGGGCGCAGGAGCUUAAUAAGGUAGACUGUUCGUCUAUUAAAUUCCUACA